RNAcentral lists this long non-coding RNA (447 nucleotides) under Fukomys damarensis (Damara mole-rat). RNAcentral describes it as "lncRNA (ENSFDAG00000029116.1)". The record is from RNAcentral. Lineage: Eukaryota; Metazoa; Chordata; Mammalia; Rodentia; Bathyergidae.
UAGCCGAUGUUCUGUUAUCUCCUUUUUUCUUCCCUAGGUUCACAGCAUCUUGCAAGAGGAGUUUUUUUACCUUUUGGGAUCUCAGUCAAGAAAUGUACUUAUUAUGUAAACCUAAUUUGGUUGAGUAGUCACCUCUCCUCAACACAGAUCAAAUUCUUGCUUGGGAACUGACACCAGCCUAACUCCUGCAGAGAUCUUGGUAUGAUGUCAACUCCAUCCCAUGCCACUAAUAUUUUUUAGGGACUCAAGCCUCAGAUUUUCUGCCUUGGCACUAUCUGGCCCUAGCAAUUGGUUGAGGCAUAGGCACAUGACAAUUCUUGCUACAGUCUUACUUGGUAAUUGUUAGGAAGUAAGGCCCUUCAUUCCAAAAAGAGUCAUCCUGAAAGUAGAGCUCUCAUUUCCACUAAACUGAAAAAUGAACAGACAUGAAGAAACAGACAUCUUGCC